UUCAGCCCAUUGCAUAUUUCUGGGUCCAGCCCCUCGCAGUUGAUUCAUAUUUGGCCCGAUCAGUCUUGUACAUGUGCGCAAUCUCCGGAACUAGCGGGUCGUCUGGGUUUGGGUCCGUCAGUAGAGAACAAAUUGAGAGGAGUACCUGAAAAUUGUGUCAAACGGCUCCACUGUUCCUUCAGGAUAUCAAGGCAGAUGCUUCCGUUACUGUUGAUGUUUGGGUGGAAAACCUUUUGGAAGGAAUGUAUACCUUGGGCGGUUUGAACGGAUAGUCUGGAGGGAAGUGAAUAGAAACCAAGAAGACGCCACCUGCAUAUGGACUAUCUGCUGGACCCAUAAUCGUAGCUUGCCAGUGGAACAUAUCUUCUCCCACAGGGCCUCGCUGCAGGAGGUUGGGGGAUCCUUCUGCAGGUCCUUGAGCUCCUUGAGGAUCCGCUUGGACGCCAU
RNAcentral lists this small RNA (447 nucleotides) under Oryza sativa Japonica Group (Japanese rice). RNAcentral's name for it is "sRNA Os06g0506850". The record is from RNAcentral. Lineage: Eukaryota; Viridiplantae; Streptophyta; Magnoliopsida; Poales; Poaceae.